RNAcentral lists this long non-coding RNA (502 nucleotides) under Setaria viridis. RNAcentral describes it as "long non-coding RNA (SVIR_LNC002155)". The record is from RNAcentral. Lineage: Eukaryota; Viridiplantae; Streptophyta; Magnoliopsida; Poales; Poaceae.
GAGGACGUGUACGUAUGCGCGUUAGUGGGAUGUGGAUACCGGGAACUUACGGCGUGUUGGCCGAAGGCAACGUAAUUUUGUAAGAAAAAAUAGAGCUUACGCAACGAAACGUCUAUUUUUGAUUGAGGUGAGCCCCAAAAGGAAUUUCAGUGUUUCAUUUCUUCUGGUCUAGAGAAUUUGCUGGCAGCUUUUCAAAAGGAAAAAAAAGAUUUUGCUGGCGCAGAUCGUCGUUCGCUGGUUUUUCUAUGAUGAUCUAGCCAUGAUACCAGGGAGGAUUGAUGUAUACUUUAUUUUGGAGGAAAAUUAAGCCAAAAGAACCCAAACCUGGGAAAUGAGCCAUGUUCAUUUAAGUAUAUGCAGUUAUUAGUGGCCUGUCCAUAACAAAUAAUUUGGCCACUGUAAUUUGGCGGCCUAACUUGUGUGCGCAGCAAAGGAUCUUUUAUGUUUGUUCCGUCAAAAGAGGCUUUCCUGCAGAUUGAAGAAUAGCUUUGCCAGAAACAGC